CCUACGGGUGGCAGCAGUGAGGAAUAUUGGUCAAUGGACGAGAGUCUGAACCAGCCAAGUAGCGUGAAGGAUGACUGCCCUAUGGGUUGUAAACUUCUUUUAUAUGGGAAUAAAAUGUUCCACGUGUGGGCUUUUGUAUGUACCAUAUGAAUAAGGAUCGGCUAACUCCGUGCCAGCAGCCGCGGUAAUACGGAGGAUCCGAGCGUUAUGCGGAUUUAUUGGGUUUAAAGGGAGCGUAGAUGGGUUGUUAAGUCAGUUGUGAAAGUUUGGGGCUCAACCGUAAAAUUGCAAUUGAUACUGGCAGCCUUGAGUACAGUUGAGGUAGGCGGAAUUCGUGGUGUAGCGGUGAAAUGCGUAGAUAUCACGAAGAACUCCGAUUGCGAAGGCAGCUUACUAAACUGCCACUGACAUUGAUGCUCGAAAGUGUGGGUAUCAAACAGGAUUAGAUACCCGUGUAGUC
Molecule: ribosomal RNA, 460 nt
Filed under: uncultured bacterium
Lineage: Bacteria
Description: partial 16S ribosomal RNA
Rfam family: Bacterial small subunit ribosomal RNA
Source: RNAcentral